UUGGCCCGCGGGCCGUGAGUCUGAGACCCCUGGUCUAUAAGUUUCUUUUAGGAAAAAGAGUUCUUUUAAGAGACUAGUUACGGCAAAUCCUCCAAUCAUCAAUAAACACACACACACACACACACACACACACACACACACACACACACACACACACACACACACACACACACACACAAUCUGUACUGCAUUAGCACAUGUAUUUUAACACAAUAAGACACUAACUUAACAUUCUAUUAAUAUAGUGGAUAGUGCAGAAAAACAAAACAAAAGAAGAGUCCCUGCACAGCCUCCGUUGGAUAGAUUGCAGCAGCUUAUAUCCACGUAGAUCAGUUCAAGGGAAAAAAACAGCCAGGACAUUCAGUGGACAGAACGGUACAGCGCUAGCUUCACCUCGCUGUAGGCCUUGAAUGGGACAAACUCAUUAUGAUUCAAAUGUAUGGGGAACGUCUCAGAACGUCUCUCGCUUCACGCAGAGAAAGAUGUGCCGUGCGCUGUGUCUGUGAGGCGUUUGCGGGUGCAUGGGAAAGUAGGGUACUAGGCAACUACAUAAUCACCUGGGUUACACUCUCCCCCUCUAAAUCAAGAGUCGCUUCAUGCAUUUGAGUUAUGCUGGGAGUACAGUUGGUAGAAGAGCUGUGUCUAAUAGUGCAGCAACCAAGGUCGGGAAGAAGAAAUUGAUUGCCAAAUUCAGAGCCUCUCCCAAUUCAUCAAACAUGAACUUGUGAGGCUGGCGCCUCUCCCUAGUGGAGCGCCUAAGGCUCACUGGUUCAGUUACUGUUGUCACAUUGUUGACUUCAUCCUCAACCUUUUCAGUACAGUCAUUCACAGUUUGCACAGUUCUGGAAUGUCAACAUAAUCAGAAGACCUACAGUGCAGGUGUGAAGUUUCAUAAACCCUUCUCAACCUAGGGACGUUAGGCUAGGUUUUUACUGUCAGGUUUCUGUGUUCACUUCCUGUUUUAUUGUCAUAGUCCCGGUUUCCAGUAUCAUUCUGUUAACGCUAGCAUUACUUCCGGUUAUCAUUACACGCACCUGUCUUGCAUUUACCAUUACUUACCAGGAUAUUUAACCACCACCUGUUACCGCAGUAAUCCGCCAGAUCGUUGAAUCAAUGUCUUCACGUUCCAGCAGUAUCUCGUUCAGCUUAUCCCGUCUCCGACCCAGUUCUGUAUUCCUGACCACCGAUUCUCGUCUGAUCCUGACUGGUAUAGUAAUGUCCUGGUUUCUGUUGCUGAACCCUGCCUGUUACCGGACCUGUCUAAGCCUGCUGAUUCAAACACUGAAAUCUGAGCCUUCUGGUAUUGACCCACGCCGUUAUCGGAACCGGUUACGUCUGCUCCCUCAGUGCCUCAAUCCUGUGUUUACCCGUGUAUUACCUGGACUGUCUGUGACUCCGAGUUCUGUAUUAAACCCUUGAAUUUUACCAUAUGUCUGCUGUCUCAUCGCUGUGUAUGUGGGUCCAAUCUCUGCCGAAGCCUGACAUUUACUCUCCUUGGCUUUUCCUUUAGUGCAGUGUGUUCAAUUCAUUUAAAUUCAAUUCAGUUUUAUUUAUAUAGCGCCAAAUCACAACAAGGCACUUUACAAAGUAAGGUUUAAGACCUUACACAACUAAACCCAACAGAUCCCACAUACAGCAAACCUUUAAUUUGACAGCAACAGUGGAGAGAAAAAACUACCUCGCUAACAAGGAAGAAACCUCCAGCAGAACCAGGCUGGAUGUGGGCGGCCAUCUGCCUCGACCGGUUGGGGUGAGGGGAUAGAGAGAGAGAAAAGCACAGCAACAAUAAGCAACAACAAAGCACAGGCAGGAUGGUUGGAUCCGCAGCUGCCCAUCCCAGACAUAUAGCUCUGAGUCCGGUGAUACCGGUAGGUGAGGACAGAGUGGAGAAAAGAGAGAGAGAGAGAGAGAGAGAGAGAGAGAGAGAGAUGCACAUGCAAAAUUCACUUUUUGGACAUUCUGGUAUGUUUAUCUGACUCCCUGGGUCACAUUAAGACAUUCCUGGUGUGUUAGAAGUACGCCCCCUAAUUAUUUCACAUUUUUGAGAGUUUAUCCAAUCCGGUUCAAGAACCAUCGUUUUAAAUUUGGCGGCCUCGAUACGUCUGCAUUUGCGCUGACCAAUCACAGAACCAGCUUUGCGCCCCCCAGACAAACCUGGACCCCUAAAUGUACCUGAAACAUUUUGUUUCAGUCACUCACUCCAGUCACAGACAAAAGAAGAAGUCACUCACUGCGCAGUCUACCAUAGGAGGUGGCGCUACUGCACCUUUCAGUUGGUUGCCACCCGCCAUUUAAAAGACAAAAGAAGAAGUCACUCAGGUUGAAGAAGCGCCCACUUGCUGCUUCCCCAAACGUAAGUACAUGCUUGAUACUUAUUUGAUGUAUGUACUCCAGACGUUUCUCUGUUUAUAAUGUAGCUUCCCUCCUGUGUAAGGAAUGCUAAUUGCUAGAACCGUUGCGUUGCCACGCAAUUUGGAUGAGUCCAAGCCUCUCCAGCAUUUGUCCGGUUCGAAUCGUGUGAUAUAUGGUACUGAGGUCAUUCACUCAGCUCACAUUAUAGCUGCUAGCGCGUUAGCGGCUAGCGCUAGUAAGUUGUGAGAGUCAGCUGUGUUUCUAAUUACUACCGAGCCUGUCGUGUGUAUGAUGUAGCCCGAGUAGACCCGUGAAUUUGGGUUAUUGCAAGUUCUAUCUAAGUCUAACAUGUGUUGUUGCUUAUCUAGUCAGCUACUUUAGCUGUAAACGUGACAUGUUUUUUAUACAGGCUGACGCAUGCCAGCUACCGAAACGCGAGGAGGUUGCUUCUCAAACUGACACGCGCCUACCUUGUAGAAGAGUAGAAGAAUGCUCACCUCAGGAGCAAAGAGUGGUUUCAAGGAAAACAGCUGCAUCCUCCAUCUGUACAGCAGCUGCACUGCUUCCGAUGUCUUCCAACACGUGAAGACAAAAAAGAUCCUCACAUCUCCUCAGCCAACUGCUCAUGACUGUACCUGUUCCACUCCAGAAACUAUGCUUUCAACAUAACUAUUAAUCCUACCCGUUCAUUUUGUGGUCUGCAAAUUGAACUGUGACGGUAACUUAUCCAGCAUUAUAGUGCUGGUGCAUUGGUUAAAAAUAAAGUUGGCUUUGACUAUU
Betta splendens (Siamese fighting fish) is the source of this 3132-nucleotide long non-coding RNA. RefSeq lists it as uncharacterized. The record is from RefSeq and is a predicted model, not a curated record. The transcript has 2 exons. NCBI's taxonomy places the organism in Eukaryota, Metazoa, Chordata, Actinopteri, Anabantiformes, Osphronemidae.